This 1638-nucleotide unclassified non-coding RNA is filed under the name Penaeus chinensis. RNAcentral describes it as "uncharacterized LOC125042713, transcript variant X13". The record is from RNAcentral. Lineage: Eukaryota; Metazoa; Arthropoda; Malacostraca; Decapoda; Penaeidae.
CAUCUCUCUGUAUAAAUAUGUGUGUGUGUGUGUGUGAAGUGACUAUUGAUAAUAAUGAUAGAUCAAUCGAACAUUAUAAUCCAAAGAAAAAUACCACAUAUAUUUAAGUGUCAUUUUUUCUGUUGUUGUUGUUGUUAGAAGUGUCAAGGAAAUCGUAUACAGAGCCAAUUCUCAGUACUACGUAGACGUAGUAGAUGGCGCUGACUGCCGGUGUGUUGCUCAAAACCCAACAAGAAGGAGGAGUAGAACCUGUUGCUUUUCUGUCAUUGGGCAGAUGCUAUGCUGGGAUUACAAGUGAAUAGUGGAAACAUCAAGAAUGAAAUUAAUCACGAUGAAAUCUGAUUUGUGAAGGCUUAUGAGAUACCUGAAAGCACUGAAAGCUGUGAGGCAUUAAUAGGAAUGAAAUUAGCCCAACCUUCUGCUGAUCACAAAGUAUAAAUGAUUGGAAAAACUGAUGGCAUAUUCAAGAAAGAUGAAAUGACCACUACUGUGAGCUAAGCUGCAAAUCCCAUCUUGAAAAGCAGAUUACUAUAAACCUGAAAGUCUAUGCAAAGUCUGAGAAAAGGCUAUCAACAAUGAGAACAUGUUGCAGAAAAUCAAAUUAGGAAAUGGUACUUCAAACUUUACAAGAGGAAAGAAUUAGAGCUGAUUCUCCAAAAUAGUAAAGAAUUUUUUCUCAGUGAUAUUUUAUUUUCAAGCUUUUGUACAACAUUAGUAUCCAAAAUAAAUAGCAAGGUGGUAAAGAAGAUAACUAUUUAUUACUCAUUAUAAGGAGCAUCAAACACUACUCUCUGAUUGAAGAUAAUCAAAUAAUUAUUUGCCUUGACCAAGUAGGCCGCUGCCUCUCCCUGUGUGCCAGAAAUAGUUUGGGCCCUAAUUACUUGAAGCACCAGACAGGCUUGAACUCUUGAACAUUUGAUCAGUAUACAGGUUCUUUCCUCCAGUGAGCUAAUGAUGAUCAAGACCAAAUAAAACAGUGUGUGAUGUGCUCACUUCUGUCUCUUACAAGAUAUCUGAAAUUAUUUAGCGAGGCCAGUACCAGUGUUUACUUCAAAAAGCUAUACAUAAUCUUUAUGCAUAAAUGCAGUGUGAUACAUGGUAAUUCUUCUACAUCUCCAAGUAAAGUGCUAGAUUCUAAUAGCCAUAUUUUUGACAAUGUAAAGAAGACACAGCCAAAAGGAAAUGAGACAAUGAUAUACUUUUUUUUUGAAAAAUGAAGGACUGCCUUUUCCUCAUAUGUGAAGAAGCAUUGACUGCUAUUUUCUCUUAGCUGAAAGACCCAUAUGACCUAGUUCUCAGAGGAAUGCAGAAAUCUCAUGAAAAAAAAUUACCAUCUGUACCAGUGCAGUGAGAAGCUAAACUAGAAACUCUGUUCAGUAAGAAGUGAUAUACUAGGAGAAAUAAUAAUCAAGUUAAUGGAAAGAUACUUUCUCAGUAUUUUCUUUGUCACUUACCUGGCAAAGAAAAUAUUGAGAGAGUUGUAAAGGAUUAGCUGGUUAAUAAAUGAAGGCUUGUAGAAAGAAGGGGGAGAGGCUUCGACGAGAAAACUUUGAUCUUCGAUAAGUCAUCUGUCAAAAGAUAUGGACAAAAUGUGCAAAACGGAUUUCACAAAUUUCAAGCCAGAAGAGAUCAUGCAGG